RNAcentral lists this ribosomal RNA (217 nucleotides) under uncultured bacterium. Its description in RNAcentral is "partial 16S ribosomal RNA". It matches the Rfam family "Bacterial small subunit ribosomal RNA", at positions 28 to 230 of the family's 1533-position model. The record is from RNAcentral.
GAUGAACGCUGGCGGCGUGCCUAAUACAUGCAAGUCGAGCGAAUGGAUUGAGAGCUUGCUCUUAUGAAGUUAGCGGCGGACGGGUGAGUAACACGUGGGUAACCUGCCCAUAAGACUGGGAUAACUCCGGGAAACCGGGGCUAAUACCGGAUAAUAUUUUGAACUGCAUGGUUCGAAAUUGAAAGGCGGCUUCGGCUGUCACUUUAGUGGGAUGGAC